GCUUUUAUAAUUUAAAUAAAAUAUUGAUCUUGUAAAUCAAAAAUAAGAUAAACUUUAAAAGCU
This 63-nucleotide transfer RNA is filed under the name Coraebus diminutus. Its description in RNAcentral is "tRNA-Thr". Lineage: Eukaryota; Metazoa; Arthropoda; Insecta; Coleoptera; Buprestidae. The record is from RNAcentral.